GCUUCUCUAUGGAUACUCAUGCCUAAGUCACUAGAUCUUCCAUUUGGCUCUACCCUGCAAAGGUCAUUUCAAGAUUUUCUCUACUUCCAAGCACAAAACAUUUAAUUCCUUCUAGGAGUCCUUUGUGACCCCUGGAGAAGAAAAGCUACUUGGAAAGGAGAAAAGAAUUGGGAGAAUAUCUAAAUCUCUUCUAUAUAUGAGGUGAAGGGCCAUGCCUGGCAGACUACAUGGGGAAUCAGAGGAUCAAGAGGAGUGAAGAGAGGAUCCCUGGAGGAAUGCCCGUCCUCCCUCCACUGACAGCAGCCACAGUUACUAACAGGGUCUUUCUGAUGAGGAGAAUCUGACAGGACCCAGUUGAGCAAGGACUGGAACUGCUUUUGGGGAAUAGGAAAGACAACUGAAAACAAAAAGCCUACCUGAACCUCUUCCAAAAAAAAAGGGAAUACAUUGGAGAAAAAAACACAGUAGUUGAAAUUUCAGUCCUCAGUGGUGGAAAGUUGCUACUGGUCUGUAAGUAGGUCUUUUUCUCUCACCCUUCAACCACAUCAUUGCCUU
Molecule: long non-coding RNA, 555 nt
Filed under: Homo sapiens (human)
Lineage: Eukaryota; Metazoa; Chordata; Mammalia; Primates; Hominidae
Description: HSALNT0361123
Source: RNAcentral